CCUGUAUGUGCUACUAUCUUGUCAAAUUCGUGCUAAGCUUUCCAGUGCUAUAAACAAGACCUGAAAACAUGGAUCUUGCUUAAUGGUGCUGAAUCUGUUUGGGCAAGCUUUUGCCUUGUUUGAUGCUGAUGAAUCUAUUUUGAUCAUAUGCAGGGACUUGUCUUACAACAACUUGAGCGGUCCACUUCCACCGAACAUUGGAUCCUUGAGUAACCUUGAAAGCCUGUAAGCACAAAAUUAAAUGUUUAUGUUAGCUCAUUGUUGGUUGAUUAAUUCAUAACAAAGUCUGAAGCUGGAUUAUUCAAAAGUCAUAAACUGAUCAUUUGAUUAGAACAAAGAUUCCAUAUCAUGAUUUUAAUAUAAUAUCAAUUUUAAUUUCAUUAAUGAAUCGCUUCUCUCACUUUCUCUUGUGCAUGACAGGAGCGUUGUUGGCUGCCAAUUUUCUGGUGACAUACCAAAAGAACUCAGCCAACUCCCAAAGCUGCGGUUCCUGUAAAGAUCUCAAUGACUUGGAAAAUAUUGUUAAUGAUCUCAUAUACCUGCGUCAUUUUUUUUAUGUUAAUAAGAAGUUGUGACGGUAAAAAGUUGUGACGGUAAAUGAAGACAGUAGUUUAGACUUAGUUGAAAUUUCAAUUUGAAAACCCUUCUUUUUUCACAUUGACUUAUUUGUUAGCUCGAAACCAUUUCCAUUUCAUUCCAGGUAAAACAGAAAAUAGUUUUUAUCUGUUUUGGGGGAUAUAACAAACAAAAGGAAAUGCUAACUGAGUAUCAACUUUGUAUUAUUUCUUAUAGUAUCAUGGUAUAAGAGUUGAUGGAUUGUAUUGCUGCAGGUCCUUGAACAACAACAGGUUUACUGGAAGUAUACCUCCAUCAAUUGGCAACCUUUCAAAUAUGUACUGGCUUGACUUGGGUGAAAAUCGUCUGACUGGAUCACUUCCAGUAUCUGAUGGAACCAAUACUGG
This 962-nucleotide long non-coding RNA is filed under the name Oryza sativa (Asian cultivated rice). RNAcentral's name for it is "long non-coding RNA (OSAT_LNC001960)". The record is from RNAcentral. Lineage: Eukaryota; Viridiplantae; Streptophyta; Magnoliopsida; Poales; Poaceae.